Molecule: ribosomal RNA, 327 nt
Filed under: uncultured eukaryote
Lineage: Eukaryota
Description: partial 18S ribosomal RNA
Rfam family: Eukaryotic small subunit ribosomal RNA
Source: RNAcentral
CCCUUAGAUGUUCUGGGCCGCACGCGCGCUACACUGACGAAUGCAACGAGCUUAUAACCUUGGCCGAAAGGUCUGGGUAAUCUCCAAAUUUCGUCGUGAUGGGGAUAGAUUAUUGCAAUUAUUAAUCUUCAACGAGGAAUGCCUAGUAAGCGCAAGUCAUCAGCUUGCGUUGAUUACGUCCCUGCCCUUUGUACACACCGCCCGUCGCACCUACCGAUUGAAUGGUCCGGUGAAAUCUUCGGAUCUGAGAGAUGUCUGAUUAAUUUCGGACGCCUUUUGGAAAAGUUGCUUAAACCUUACCAUUUAGAGGAAGGUGAAGUCGUAACA